RNAcentral lists this ribosomal RNA (471 nucleotides) under Escherichia coli. RNAcentral's name for it is "partial 23S ribosomal RNA". It matches the Rfam family "Bacterial large subunit ribosomal RNA", at positions 394 to 867 of the family's 2925-position model. Lineage: Bacteria; Pseudomonadati; Pseudomonadota; Gammaproteobacteria; Enterobacterales; Enterobacteriaceae. The record is from RNAcentral.
AUGCUGUGAGCUCGAUGAGUAGGGCGGGACACGUGGUAUCCUGUCUGAAUAUGGGGGGACCAUCCUCCAAGGCUAAAUACUCCUGACUGACCGAUAGUGAACCAGUACCGUGAGGGAAAGGCGAAAAGAACCCCGGCGAGGGGAGUGAAAAAGAACCUGAAACCGUGUACGUACAAGCAGUGGGAGCACGCUUAGGCGUGUGACUGCGUACCUUUUGUAUAAUGGGUCAGCGACUUAUAUUCUGUAGCAAGGUUAACCGAAUAGGGGAGCCGAAGGGAAACCGAGUCUUAACUGGGCGUUAAGUUGCAGGGUAUAGACCCGAAACCCGGUGAUCUAGCCAUGGGCAGGUUGAAGGUUGGGUAACACUAACUGGAGGACCGAACCGACUAAUGUUGAAAAAUUAGCGGAUGACUUGUGGCUGGGGGUGAAAGGCCAAUCAAACCGGGAGAUAGCUGGUUCUCCCCGAAAGCU